This 627-nucleotide long non-coding RNA is filed under the name Capsella rubella. Its description in RNAcentral is "long non-coding RNA (CRUB_LNC004949)". Lineage: Eukaryota; Viridiplantae; Streptophyta; Magnoliopsida; Brassicales; Brassicaceae. The record is from RNAcentral.
AAGAAAUAGAAGCUAUCUAGCAUAGAAAAAUCGUCUUAUUGAGAGAGCUUAAGGUAAAAAAUGAAAAAAUCAUCACGGCAAGUUUGGUUUUGCUUACGGUCUUCGAUCUGUUUGGUUUUAUUAUUUUAUCAAGCCAUCUAAUAUAUUUUGCUUACAAUCUUGUGUUUGGUUUUGUUAUAUUAUAUAUUUGAUCUUUAGAAAGUACUUGGACUAUGGCAAGUUCCGGAGAGAAUGGAUCAUCACGUCGUGGAGGUCUUUCAAGAAACAAAAGCAAAUCUACUUUUUAUAUUUGAACAUGAUUUUUUUUUUUUGGAUGAAAUGUUAAAUUAGUUAAGCACCAAAAUGAGAAUUAUAUAAAUAAUGAGUAGAAAAGAAAAAAUGUUUCAAUCAAAACUUUUAUUAGGUAAGAACCAGUCGAAUCCAACCCAGAUCGCUCACAUUCCAUAGAGGUUGUGGUCAAUCAGCUCAAGGUUGUCAGCUCAUGUUUCAAACUUUUGGGUUAAAAGAUGUCAUUUUAGAACAUAGAGUAAAAUCCGUGUAGAAUUCUACACAAGCAAGACUUGUCCAAUUUAAUUUAAUAAUUGUGGAUUUUUAUUAAGUCUUUUGCUACGGCGCUAUCCGUUUUUC